Molecule: unclassified non-coding RNA, 335 nt
Filed under: Hevea brasiliensis (rubber tree)
Lineage: Eukaryota; Viridiplantae; Streptophyta; Magnoliopsida; Malpighiales; Euphorbiaceae
Source: RNAcentral
GCUCUGAUCUUCAAAGAAGACGGCGGCGAGGCUGCUCGAUCGUAUUCUUCGAUGAGAUUCGCUAGGUCCUCAUCGGAGGUUAUCGAUACCAAAGCAUCCAGAUCCUCGGAAGGCACUUGACAACGAAGAUUCACACAUGUUCCACACAACUGUCCCAGCUUCAACAACAGUUCAGAGAAAGGAAUGGAACGAUCGACGGCGAGGACACGAGUUUCACCACCAAUAUAACGGAGUUUGCCAUCAGGAUAACGAGGAAGGAUCUUGCCUCCAUAACUGCAGAGAAACUUGAUGGUCGCAGUUCUAUCAGAUUUGGCGGCGGUACCGCCUGAACUGUG